This is a non-coding RNA of Parelaphostrongylus tenuis, 74 nucleotides long. NCBI's taxonomy places the organism in Eukaryota, Metazoa, Nematoda, Chromadorea, Rhabditida, Metastrongylidae. The record is from the annotation of a GenBank genome assembly.
GCGCAGUGGUGUAGUGGUAGUAGCACGCAUCCGUAGUAUGGAUAGAACGCUUGUUCGAUUCACGCCUGAGGUCG